RNAcentral lists this ribosomal RNA (472 nucleotides) under uncultured bacterium. RNAcentral's name for it is "bacterial SSU rRNA". It matches the Rfam family "Bacterial small subunit ribosomal RNA", at positions 28 to 507 of the family's 1533-position model. The record is from RNAcentral.
GAUGAACGCUGGCGGCGUGCUUAAUACAUGCAAGUCGAACGAAUGGAUGUCUAGCUUGCUAGACUGAAGUUAGUGGCGAACGGGUGAGUAAUACAUAGGCAAUCUGCCCUGAAGUGUGGGAUAGCUAUUGGAAACGAUAAUUAAUACCGCAUAGGUAGUAAGAAGGCAUCUUCCUACUAUUAAAGAUGCGUCUGCAUCGCUGCAGGAUGAGCUUAUGGUGUAUUAGCUAGUUGGUGAGAUAAAAGCCCACCAAGGCUAUGAUACAUAGCUGGUCUGAGAGGAUGAACAGCCACAUUGGGACUGAGACACGGCCCAGACUCCUACGGGAGGCAGCAGUAAGGAAUUUUCGGCAAUGGGGGCGAACCCUGACCGAGCAACGCCGCGUGAGUGAUGAAGGUCUUCGGAUCGUAAAGCUCUGUCUUUAGGGACGAUAAUGACGGUACCUAAGGAGGAAGCCACGGCUAACUACGUG